Molecule: ribosomal RNA, 381 nt
Filed under: Triticum aestivum (bread wheat)
Lineage: Eukaryota; Viridiplantae; Streptophyta; Magnoliopsida; Poales; Poaceae
Description: partial small subunit ribosomal RNA
Source: RNAcentral
AUGAGGAAAUACUUUUUCAUUGAGGAGAGUAGUUGUGUACUAUGUGAUGAGCAACCCAAUGAAUAUCUCCAACAUCUUUUUUUCAGUUGUGAUUUCAGCCAAAAAAUUUGGAUGAAUUUGGGUCUAGAAUGGAACACUGAUCUGAAUAUCAAUGACAUGAUGAUAGAAGCCAAAAACAGAACCAAACGGAUAUGUUUAAAAGAAUGCAUUAUGGCAGGAUGUUGGAGCAUAUGGAAGCACAGAAAUGCUAUCAUCUUUGACAACAAGACCAAAGACAUUGCAUACUGCAUAUCAUGCUUCAAGGAGCACAUCAGCAUCAUCAUUAAGAAGGCAAAACCAAGUCUUAAAGAGGGAAUGCAAACUUGUCUGGACACUUUGUAA